Ictidomys tridecemlineatus (thirteen-lined ground squirrel) is the source of this 72-nucleotide non-coding RNA. The record is from Rfam. Lineage: Eukaryota; Metazoa; Chordata; Mammalia; Rodentia; Sciuridae.
UGGGGUGUAACUCAAUGAUGGAGCGCUUGUCUAACUUGUCUGAGGUCCUGGGUUCAAUCCCCAGCACCUCAC